Molecule: ribosomal RNA, 675 nt
Filed under: uncultured eukaryote
Lineage: Eukaryota
Description: SSU rRNA
Rfam family: Eukaryotic small subunit ribosomal RNA
Source: RNAcentral
GAUUUAGGGCUCGAUUCCGGAGAGGGAGCAUGAGAAACGGCUACCACAUCUAAGGAAGGCAGCAGGCGCGUAAAUUACCCAAUCCUGACUCAGGGAGGUAGUGACAAAAAAUCACAAUAUUUCACCCAAUGGGUUAAAUAAUUGUAUUGAGAACAGGCUAAACAUGUUACCGAUAAACUAUUGGAGGGCAAGUCUGGUGCCAGCAGCCGCGGUAAUUCCAGCUCCAAUAGCGUAUACUAACGUUGUUGCAGUUAAAAAGCUCGUAGUUGGAUUUCUAAGCCUGCCAGUUCUGUCUGACCUUUAAGAGUCAGCACAGUGUCUGGCGUGUCUUAUUAUGCGUUUAAUGGCGUUUGCUAUUCGCUUAGCGAGUGCCGUGAGAGCGCGUGUUUACUUUGAGAAAAUUAGAGUGUUCAAAACAGUCUUACGAUUGUAUAUCAUAGCAUGGAAUAAUAACUGAUGACAACGGUCUCUGUUGUUGGCUUUCGGUGACUGAUGUAAUGAUUGAUAGAGUCAGUCGGAGGCAUUAGUAUUUUAUCGUUAGAGGUGAAAUUCACAGAUCGAUAAAAGACUAACAACUGCGAAAGCAUUUGUCUAGGAUGUGCUCUUUGAUCAAGAACGAAAGUUGGGGGAUCGAAGACGAUCAGAUACCGUCGUAGUCUCACCUAUAACCUAUAC